Molecule: long non-coding RNA, 2517 nt
Filed under: Mus musculus (house mouse)
Lineage: Eukaryota; Metazoa; Chordata; Mammalia; Rodentia; Muridae
Description: long non-coding RNA chr16:7409933-7412450
Source: RNAcentral
GACAUCAUGUUAGCAACUCAAAGAAACAACUAAAAAGAAAAAAAAAUUAAAAAAAGAGGAAAAAUUACAUUUUUUAUCUUAUACCUCAGAUAUUUUGUUCUGUGUAUUUUAAUAUUGUGGGUCUUUGGUUUCUGAAGGUUUUUGUAGUUCAGUUGGCUGUAGGAGUUUUUGUGGUUGAUCUAGAGAGAGGCUAGAUAUGAAUAAAAACUGAUUUAGGGCCAUAUCCAGAGUGCUAUAUUAUGUAAAUGAAUUCUAUAUGCCGAACAUGAAGCUACUGGGGUUAAGCUGUUUGGGAAGACUGGAAACGGCAAGUCAUUCUUUCUGCAUCCACAUUAUUUUAUUCUGUGAAAGGGGAGGCUGGGGCGGGCUUAGGGGUUUGGCUGAAAGGAAAAAAAGAAAAUAUAUAUAUAUAUAUAUAUAUACAUAUAUAUAGUAACUGAUGAAUCUAAAUGACCCACUGCACCAACUAUCAUAAAUCUAUGGUUCUAAGUUACUCCUGGCAAAGUCAAGCCAAAGGCUGUGUUAAGAAUCCGCUUCUCAUAGCACGGAGAUUGCAGUUGAAGGAAGGAAGCUGUGUCGGCCAGUCCACCCUCUUAUCAUUCCACCUGCAGUACUCAGCUUCUUACCUACCCACUAGUUAUUUAAGCAAAGGCUACUAGUUAGGCCAUCAGUAAGCAUUCUUUUUAUAUUUCUUCCAGUAUGAGAAAUUAUUGAUAUCACUGCUGACUUUUAUAUUACGGGAGGGAAAAAUUAACAUUAAUAAAAAGGUGAUUAAAAAAAGCACUGUUUCUAUUUUUUUCUUUUUUUCCAAAAAAGAAAGUAAUAAAAACUUAAAUUCUUUGUACCAGUUAAAAAUAUGUAUAAAAUUUACAUCUGUGCAGUGGAGUUAUGUUCUAGAACAGUCUCUGAGGCUUUAGUUUAGCUUAGUAGAUUAACUGUUAGAGACAGACGUAUAAUUUUUAUGGAAUUACAUGAUAAUCAUAUCUGGAUUUAUAGUCGCAUUUUACAAGUAUCGCAAUCAUUGAAUAGAGAUAAUCAUGGUAUUUUCAUCAGCUUGAUACUUUUUGAAAACAUGACUGCGCUGUGAGCAACUUGCAAUUUUUCAGUCUGUGAGAGCCCGCCCUUCCCUCUCCCCAGUGCCCCAGGGUUAUCAUAAACUGGUAUCUUUAUUUCUAUCACCAAGGCCCAACAAUUGUCAGAAGGAAGCAAACACAAGACAAAAAACAAGAACUAGAACUAUCCCCUCCACCCCCAAAGAACAAGAUCUGCCCCAUCCUUUUUCGGAGCAGGGCCAGAGCAACACAGCCGAAAAAUUGCAACUUGUGAUUUUCUUCUGUUUGAAUCCCCCCCAUGUUGUCCUGUUUACAAGUUAACCUAAGUUGGGGUAUCUGUCAUGGGUCUUCCUGUUUUGUAUUUAAAUUCUAAAAUAUCAGCAAGCUGUUCCCUGAGUAGUGUUGCUGCCUGUGUGUGCGGUGCCGGCCCCGCGGCACGCACUUUAGUAAGUUAUCAACUCACGCUGUGAACCUGCCAACCUGCUGUAACAACUCUGCUUUAAAAUCAAAACCAAACGAAACUUUAAAAAGAAAAAAAAAAGUGUGUGUGAUCCAGCUUUUCCUCGUCAUCCUACGUGCAUGCCCGUAAGAUCGGUUGGAUAUUAAACCAUCAAUAAAGUUUCAUGAGAUUUGAAAACAAAGUUUUUGUAGCUUCGAUAUCUAAGACAGGUGAUCAUGGUUUGGGAGAGAAAGAAAAGCAAAGGGCGAGGAGGGGAAGGGAGAGAAACUGCUGAACUGGUGAGAAGAGAAACUGUUCUUCUUUCACCAGACCCCUUUCUUUGAGUAGGGAGAGACAGGUCCAGAGGGAACCAUUUGACAACAUCACGUUCCCACUUCCCUGGCCUGCUACAGCGUGCACCUGGUUGAUGUUAUCCAAGGCAACAAUUUAUCAUGAUGCUGUAGCAUUCAACCCCAGAUGGGGUCAAGAUAGUAAUAGAAAAGGGGGCUGCAAAAAGAUCAACAGACUCCUCCCAGUCGCCCCAGAUUUUCAAGCCCAGAACCUGCAUUGUGUAUGAAAUCACAAACAUGGAAUUCUUACUGUGCUGGCUAAAGUAAAACUCAUUUGCGGUUUUGAUUUCCAUCAAUGAACUGUACUUUCCCCUACGAUCGUAUGUAGUUUUAAUAAAAAUCAUUUAGAGCAAGUGGGUGCCAAUCGGUGUCGCAGAACCUUUUGUCUAGGCACUCCACUGAGCUGCCGAUAAGUCGUUUUAAACUGUCAUGUCAGAGGUGUAAACAAACAUUUUGGAUUUUUUAAAACAACAGUAUUUAUUUGGAAUGUUUUCAUUUAUCUAAAUAACUAUUGCUAUUAUGAAUUAUGGAAAAAAAGAUUAAUGUGGCAUAUAGUGACUUCUUAACACACAUCACUCAAUCUGCAAACCCAGAAAAUGUGUAUAUCUGUCUUUAGAAAUUAGUGUUUAUAUCACUUACAGUGGUUUGUGAAUAAAGAAAACUGGUUUGUAAUAUC